AGUCGUAACAAGGUUUCCGUAGGUGAACCUGCGGAAGGAUCAUUAACGUGCAUCUAAUGCAAAACCAAAACCAAACCGACUUGUGAACCUUAAAAAACCCUUAUGUCUUCUUUUUUAGCCAUUGUCCUUCGGGACUUUGGUUAAAAAACCCACCACAUUCACCAAAACCAAUUAAUACACAAACCCAUUCCAACUGAUUGAAAAAUCGUAAAUAAAUCGACGACUUUCAACGGCGGAUCUCUAGGCUCGU
This 250-nucleotide unclassified non-coding RNA is filed under the name fungal sp. Its description in RNAcentral is "partial internal transcribed spacer region". The stretch from base 1 to 45 matches the Rfam family "Eukaryotic small subunit ribosomal RNA", at positions 1787 to 1831 of the family's 1831-position model. Lineage: Eukaryota; Fungi. The record is from RNAcentral.